Oncorhynchus keta (chum salmon) is the source of this 1049-nucleotide long non-coding RNA. RefSeq lists it as uncharacterized. The transcript is spliced from 4 exons. NCBI's taxonomy places the organism in Eukaryota, Metazoa, Chordata, Actinopteri, Salmoniformes, Salmonidae. The record is from RefSeq and is a predicted model, not a curated record.
UAAUAACAUGACUAUAUACAGGGAGUACCAGGUAAUAACAUGACUAUAUACAGGGAGUACCAGGUAAUAACAUGACUAUAUACAGGGAGUACCAGGUAAUAACAUGACUAUAUACAGGGAGUACCAGGUAAUAACAUGACUAUAUACAGGGAGUACCAGGUAAUAACAUGACUAUAUACAGGGAGUACCAGGUAAUAACAUGACUAUAUACAGGGAGUACCAGGUAAUAACAUGACUAUAUACAGGGAGUACCAGGUAAUAACAUGACUAUAUACAGGGAGUACCAGGUAAUAACAUGACUAUAUACAGGGAGUACCAGGUAAUAACAUGACUAUAUACAGGGAGUACCAGGUAAUAACAUGACUAUAUACAGGGAGUACCAGGUAAUAACAUGACUAUAUACAGGGAGUACCAGGUAAUAACAUGACUAUAUACAGGGAGUACCAGGUAAUAACAUGACUAUAUACAGGGAGUACCAGGUAAUAACAUGACUAUAUACAGGGAGUACCAGGUAAUAACAUGACUAUAUACAGGGAGUAGUACCAGGUAAUAACAUGACUAUAUACAGGGAGUACCAGGUAAUAACAUGACUAUAUACAGGGAGUACCAGGUAAUAACAUGACUAUAUACAGGGAGUACCAGGUAAUAACAUGACUAUAUACAGGGAGUACCAGGUAAUAACAUGACUAUAUACAGGGAGUACCAGGUAAUAACAUGACUAUAUACAGGGAGUACCAGGUAAUAACAUGACUAUAUACAGGGAGUACCAGGUAAUAGCAUGACUAUAUACAGGGAGUACCAGGUAAUAAAUAACAUGACUAUAUACAGGGAGUACCAGGUAAUAACAUGACUAUAUACAGGGAGUACCAGGUAAUAACAUGACUAUAUACAGGGAGUACCAGGUAAUAACAUGACUAUAUACAGGGAGUACCAGGUAAUAGCAUGACUAUAUACAGGGAGUACCAGGUAAUAACAUGACUAUAUACAGGGAGUACCAGGUAAUAACAUGACUAUAUACAGGGAGUACCAGGUAAUAACAUGACUAUAUA